UACAGAGACUGCAAGCGUUAUUCGGAUUCACUGGGCGUAAAGGGUGCGCAGGCGGCCGUGUGUGUCAGAUGUGAAAUCCCGGGGCUUAACUCCGGAACUGCGUCUGAAACUACACGGCUAGAGCAUUGGAGAGGGUAGUGGAAUUCACGGUGUAGCAGUGAAAUGCGUAGAUAUCGUGAGGAACACCAGAGGCGAAGGCGACUACCUGGACAAUUGCUGACGCUCAGGCACGAAAGCGUGGGGAGCCAAAGGG
This 253-nucleotide ribosomal RNA is filed under the name uncultured bacterium. RNAcentral's name for it is "partial 16S ribosomal RNA". It matches the Rfam family "Bacterial small subunit ribosomal RNA", at positions 524 to 776 of the family's 1533-position model. The record is from RNAcentral.